GUCAGGAUGAAGAAGAUGGCGGCGGCCGU
RNAcentral lists this non-coding RNA (29 nucleotides) under Cricetulus griseus (Chinese hamster). Lineage: Eukaryota; Metazoa; Chordata; Mammalia; Rodentia; Cricetidae. The record is from RNAcentral.